GACGAACGCUGGCGGCGUGCUUAACACAUGCAAGUCGAACGCUGAAGCCUGGCUUUUGUUGGGUGGAUGAGUGGCGAACGGGUGAGUAACACGUGAGUAACCUGCCCCCUUCUUUGGGAUAACGCCCGGAAACGGGUGCUAAUACUGGAUAUUCACUGGCCUUCGCAUGGGGGUUGGUGGAAAGGGUUUUCUGGUGGGGGAUGGGCUCGCGGCCUAUCAGCUUGUUGGUGGGGUGAUGGCCUACCAAGGCUUUGACGGGUAGCCGGCCUGAGAGGGUGACCGGUCACAUUGGGACUGAGAUACGGCCCAGACUCCUACGGGGAGGCAGCAGUGGGGGGAAUAUUGCACAAUGGGCGAAAGCCUGAUGCAGCGACGCCGCGUGAGGGAUGGAGGCCUUCGGGUUGUGAACCUCUUUCGCUCAUGGUCAAGCCGCAACUGUGGGUUGUGGUGAGGGUAGUGGGUAAAGAAGCGCCGGCUAACUACGUGCCAGCAGCCGCGGUAA
RNAcentral lists this ribosomal RNA (502 nucleotides) under uncultured bacterium. Its description in RNAcentral is "bacterial SSU rRNA". It matches the Rfam family "Bacterial small subunit ribosomal RNA", at positions 28 to 523 of the family's 1533-position model. The record is from RNAcentral.